This 382-nucleotide ribosomal RNA is filed under the name uncultured bacterium. RNAcentral describes it as "bacterial SSU rRNA". It matches the Rfam family "Bacterial small subunit ribosomal RNA", at positions 29 to 412 of the family's 1533-position model. The record is from RNAcentral.
AUUGAACGCUGGCGGAAUGCUUUACACAUGCAAGUCGAACGGCAGCACGGGGGCAACCCUGGUGGCGAGUGGCGAACGGGUGAGUAACACAUCGGAACGUGCCCAGUCGUGGGGGAUAACGUAGCGAAAGCUACGCUAAUACCGCAUACGAACUCUGGUUGAAAGCGGGGGAUCGCAAGACCUCGCGCUAUAGGAGCGGCCGAUGUCAGAUUAGCUUGUUGGCGGGGUAAAAGCCCACCAAGGCGACGAUCUGUAGCUGGUCUGAGAGGACGACCAGCCACACUGGGACUGAGACACGGCCCAGACUCCUACGGGAGGCAGCAGUGGGGAAUUUUGGACAAUGGGCGCAAGCCUGAUCCAGCCAUGCCGCGUGCGGGAAGAA